CCCCUCUCAGAAUCACACCUGAAGAGUUUCCAGUGCUCUACCAUUCUUGGCUACAGGAGGAGGAGUCAAGCAGAGGCAUACCCAUUCCAUUCCUAGCUUGGGCAGUGGCUAGUGAGUGGAAAGCAAUCUGCUACAAGU
Tachyglossus aculeatus (Australian echidna) is the source of this 138-nucleotide small nucleolar RNA. The record is from RefSeq and is a predicted model, not a curated record. Lineage: Eukaryota; Metazoa; Chordata; Mammalia; Monotremata; Tachyglossidae.